RNAcentral lists this transfer RNA (64 nucleotides) under Dipodomys ordii (Ord's kangaroo rat). It matches the Rfam family "tRNA". Rfam says of the family: Transfer RNA (tRNA) molecules are approximately 80 nucleotides in length. Their secondary structure includes four short double-helical elements and three loops (D, anti-codon, and T loops). Lineage: Eukaryota; Metazoa; Chordata; Mammalia; Rodentia; Heteromyidae. The record is from Rfam by way of RNAcentral.
GGUGGCUCAGUGGUAGAGUGCUUGCCUUGCAUGCAUGAAGCCCUGGGUUCAAUCCUCAGCACCA